RNAcentral lists this ribosomal RNA (440 nucleotides) under uncultured bacterium. RNAcentral describes it as "partial 16S ribosomal RNA". It matches the Rfam family "Bacterial small subunit ribosomal RNA", at positions 338 to 795 of the family's 1533-position model. The record is from RNAcentral.
CCUACGGGAGGCAGCAGUGGGGAAUAUUGGACAAUGGGGGGAACCCUGAUCCAGCGACGCCGCGUGAGUGAAGAAGUAUUUCGGUAUGUAAAGCUCUAUCAGCAGGGAAGAAAAUGACGGUACCUGACUAAGAAGCCCCGGCUAACCACGUGCCAGCAGCCGCGGUAAUACGUAGGGGGCAAGCGUUAUCCGGAUUUACUGGGUGUAAAGGGAGCGUAGACGGGGCAGCAAGUCGGAUGUUAAAGGUUGGGGCCCAACCCCGGGACUGCAUUUGAAACUGUUGAACUGGAGUGCAGGAGAGGUAAGCGGAAUUCCUGGUGUAGCGGUGAAAUGCGUAGAUAUUAGGAGGAACACCAGUGGCGAAGGCGGCUUACUGGACUGUAACUGACGUUGAGGCACGAAAGCGUGGGGAGCAAACAGGAUUAGAUACCCUAGUAGUC